CCUACGGGAGGCAGCAGUGAGGAAUAUUGGUCAAUGGCCGGAAGGCUGAACCAGCCAAGCCGCGUGAAGGACGAAGGUGCCAAGCAUUGUAAACUUCUUUUGUCAAGGGACAAAAUCAGGCUCGAGAGCCUGACCGAGGGUACUUGAAGAAAAAGCAUCGGCUAACUCCGUGCCAGCAGCCGCGGUAAUACGGAGGAUGCGAGCGUUAUCCGGAUUUAUUGGGGUUAAAGGGUGCGUAGGCGGGCUGUUAAGUUAGCGGUAAAAGCCGGGGGGUAAACCCCGGAGAGCCGUUGAAACUGGGUGUCUUGAGAUGUCGAGAGGUAUGCGGAAUGCGAAGUGUAGCGGUGAAAUGCUUAGAUAGUGAGCAGAACUCCGAUUGCGAAGGCAGCAUACCGGCGGCGAUCUGACGCUGAGGCACGAAAGCGUGGAUAUCGAACAGGAUUAGAUACCCUGGUAGUC
Molecule: ribosomal RNA, 459 nt
Filed under: uncultured bacterium
Lineage: Bacteria
Description: partial 16S ribosomal RNA
Rfam family: Bacterial small subunit ribosomal RNA
Source: RNAcentral